CCUACGGGAGGCAGCAGUAGGGAAUAUUGCUCAAUGGGGGAAACCCUGAUGCAGCAACGCCGCGUGGAGGAUGAAGGUUUUCGGAUUGUAAACUCCUUUUGUUAGAGAAGAUAAUGACGGUAUCUAACGAAUAAGCACCGGCUAACUCCGUGCCAGCAGCCGCGGUAAUACGGAGGGUGCAAGCGUUAUCCGGAAUCACUGGGCGUAAAGAGCGCGUAGGCGGGAUAGCAAGUCAGAUGUGAAAUCCUAUGGCUUAACCAUGGAACUGCAUUUGAAACUGUUAGUCUAGAGUAUGGGAGGGGUAGGUGGAAUUCUUGGUGUAGGGGUAAAAUGCGUAGAGAUCAAGAGGAAUACUGAUUGCGAAGGCGACCUGCUAGAACAUAACUGACGCUGAUGCGCGAAAGCGUGGGGAGCAAACAGGAUUAGAUACCCUUGUAGUC
RNAcentral lists this ribosomal RNA (440 nucleotides) under uncultured bacterium. RNAcentral's name for it is "partial 16S ribosomal RNA". It matches the Rfam family "Bacterial small subunit ribosomal RNA", at positions 338 to 795 of the family's 1533-position model. The record is from RNAcentral.